CAGCCGCCGCGGUAAUACGUAGGGUGCAAGCGUUAAUCGGAAUUACUGGGCGUAAAGCGUGCGCAGGCGGUUCUAUAAGACAGAUGUGAAAUCCCCGGGCUCAACCUGGGAACUGCAUUUGUGACUGUAGAGCUGGAGUGCGGCAGAGGGGGAUGGAAUUCCGCGUGUAGCAGUGAAAUGCGUAGAUAUGCGGAGGAACACCGAUGGCGAAGGCAAUCCCCUGGGCCUGCACCGACGCUCAUGCACGAAAGCGUGUGGAGCAAACAGGAUUAGAUACCCCCGUAGUCCCUGUCUCUUAUAA
RNAcentral lists this ribosomal RNA (301 nucleotides) under uncultured bacterium. RNAcentral describes it as "partial 16S ribosomal RNA". It matches the Rfam family "Bacterial small subunit ribosomal RNA", at positions 509 to 809 of the family's 1533-position model. The record is from RNAcentral.